Molecule: long non-coding RNA, 886 nt
Filed under: Lactuca sativa (garden lettuce)
Lineage: Eukaryota; Viridiplantae; Streptophyta; Magnoliopsida; Asterales; Asteraceae
Description: long non-coding RNA (LSAT_LNC002186)
Source: RNAcentral
AAGAAGGGGGAAAGGAAGGUUUACAUACACGGGGUCUGCCAAGUUGAUCUCUGAAACAGAAGAGAGAAAGCACGAGUGUUUCAACUUUCAAAAGUAAAGAUCUCAUAAAAGUUCUUCACAUUGAUCACUAAAUUGAAACGGGCAUAGAACACGAGGAAACUUCUCAGAAACAUGUAAGAAGCUAAUAUAUGCUAAUGAAGUGAACUUGAACUUCAAGUAUGUUAUGUACAUUUAAAUUAUGAAUCUCAUACAGUAUUUGAUUGAUCUAAAUGAAAAAAAAAAAACAAAUAUCAAAGUGGUUCCAUUACACAAAGCCAUGAUUUCCACAAGCGACGAAUUAACCUAACAGCUUCAUGUUCCCUUAAGGCUCUCACCUAGUCAAUUAUAUUUGACAAAUUUUAGUAACGAAAUGGACUAAUGGAUCCAUUCUAGUAUAUAUGAACACGCAUAAACGAAGAGAAAUCUGCAUUUGGAAAUUUACUCAACAUGAAAAAUGGAAACGAUUAAAGCACAAUUAAACUAACAUAUAUACAGAGAGCAUUUGCUGCCCAGUAAAACAAAGAAGAGAUGGAGAAUUAGCUUACAGGAACGAAUAAAUUUGAUCCGCCUGAGGUCGAAAUUAGGUGUAGUGGUACUGCAUAAUCUGCAAAAUCGCAAGGAGAGAAGAAAACAGCAGAUCCUGAGUCGAUAUGUUAAUCCAAAGAAGAAUUUACCCAAAAAUGCUUGAAUUUAGACAUAUGUAGGUAAAAUGCGAUCCCUAAUUACUGAAUUAAGUAUAAAAACUCUACAUUUGCUCUGAAUUGAACAAGAUGCAGCCAUUGAAGCUAAAUUGGGAAGACGGUAUGAUAGAACUUCUUUCCAGAAAUAGAAGAGAAUGUUACCCUGG